Molecule: long non-coding RNA, 2134 nt
Organism: Carya illinoinensis
Lineage: Eukaryota; Viridiplantae; Streptophyta; Magnoliopsida; Fagales; Juglandaceae
Exons: 2
Source: RefSeq, a predicted model, not a curated record
AUGGGUGCGUGUACGAGGUGUGGACAUCAAGUUCAUGAUCUAGUCCAUCCAACGGUGGAUGUUUAUUACCAGUUUCAUCUAUAUAUAUGUAUUUAUCGAGAGAGAGAGAGAGAGAGAGAGAGAGAGAGAGAGAGUGCAUGGGGUCGUGGUCAUUUCUGCUGGGAAGUGAGAACCCAGAUGGUAGGGUAGAGCCUGCACCAAUCUUUUGUCUUUUAUAGCGUUGGCUUUGAGCUCUUUUUUACUCUUCUUAUAACACUCCCAUACCAUAUCGUUCUCAUUCAUUAUCACCACCACCAAUCCCCCAUCUCUGAUCUCUCUGAUCCCCCUUAAAGAUAGGCGAGACUCAUGGGGGAUUAGAGACAUAUACUCUUCUUCAGAGUUGAAGAUGAUAUGUGUGAGAUAUUGGGAAGCCUUUUGUUUUGAGGGGAAUGUUGUCUGGCUCGAGGACACUUUGUUUGAUCCCUUUUUCUCUCCUCUCUCUGAUCAAUCUAAACCACCAAUUGGGGAUCGAGUUUUGGUCAUGUUUUAGUGUCGUCGGACCAGGCUUCAUUCCCCCCAAUUUUACGCUUCCAUGGAGCUAUGCCAAGGCUUUGUUCAUGGGCUAUAUGCGGAGGUAUGGAAUAGGCCUUCUCGUGAUCAAUACAAAGGGAAAAUAGUUGAUUUGAAAGAGAUUGGCAAAAGAGCUAUAUUUAUAGGCCUCUAGGAAGAUAGGGUAACAUGUCUUAUUAUAUCCUCUCUCUCUCUCUCUCUCUCUCUCUCACACACACAUGAUCAUCUUCCACCCAUGACAUAACCUCAAGACUGUUUAUGUCUCUCUUCGAAUGGUUUUAUUAUUAUUGUUUCAUUAUGCAUUUUGAUUGUCUAAAGUUCUCAACAUAUUGCAAAGAAAGUCCAAAUUUUAACUCAUACUUGCAUUGUCUCCAGUGAUUUAAGCUAGUUUGUCUUGUUUUAAUUACAUUAUCUGGUGGGUAUUAGUAUUUUCACGUUUCACUGCCGUUGAAAAAGGGUUUGUAUGAUUGCUUUCUCUUAAAGAAUAGCCUUUUUUGGGAACUUGCGUCUUUUGUUGCUUUGCUUUUUAAACCCUUUGGUCUUCUUUUUCUUCAUCUUUUUCUGUGAGUUGCUUCCAAUGAUUUUAUAGAGAGAGAGAGAGAGAGAGAGAGAGAGAGAGAGAGAGAGAGAGAGAGAGAGAGAUCCGCUCACUCUUGAUGAUUUCUGAUAAAAGUUUUGCUCCCACAACUUUGUUCGGGUGCGUAGUGUACCAUGCACUUGACCUAGCUGUUCAAAAAGCUUUCUGAAGAUUUUGGACAACUUGAUGGGAAGAUGAGGAUAUAAUGAUGGGGUUACUUCACCUAUUUACUAUUUUCUUUAUUUUUUAAAAUUUUUUUAUUUAAUAAUUAAGAGAGUGAUUAUUAAUUUAAAAUAAAUAAUAAAAAAAUAAAAAAUUUCAAGAAUAAUAAAUAGAUAAUAGAAAAUUGUAAGCCAUCAUUAUCCUUUUAUAUAUAUAUAUAUAUAUAAACACACACAUAUUAAACUGAUUACUCAAAUAGGAUAGUUAAAUGAAGCCCUGCCAAUUAUUUCGGAAUCCAAUGCAACUUUAAUGUUUACCUUUUUUUCCCCCAAGUCUUGUGAUUGAACCCCAUUUCUGACCUCUUUUAAUUGCCUCUUCUUUUUUUAUUUCUUUUUUUCCUAUUGUUUGUUUGGGAUUUUGUGUGGGCUUAAUAAUGCUGAUGCUAAAUGGUUGAUUGUCCUGACACUCCUGACUCCUUAUGGCGACUUGCAUGUUGUUUGAAGGUAGUCUUUUUUCAGUCUAAUUAAUGAACCGUUUCAAGGGGGGUAAGUACGUUUCCUGUGAUAAACAGAGUUGCAGCAGCCAAUGUCAGGUUUGAAAGUUACUAAUUUUAACGUGACUAUCUAAAUACAGCUCAAGUACAUGGUCUAAGUCAGAGUUCAAGGGAUUAUUUUAUACACAUGGGGAUACCAAGUUGUAUAUAAAGAGUAUUAAUUCAAAGCACAGAUUGUUUGGCGCGUUUUAUGCAUUUUUUUAAUCAAUAUUUGUGUAAACUGCUGGAUAAAAUGGAUUAGUUUGUUCGAGGUUUGAAUUUGAGUACUAAAGAAGGUUUUUAUUGCUGAUUGA